This 1806-nucleotide long non-coding RNA is filed under the name Sorghum bicolor (sorghum). RNAcentral describes it as "long non-coding RNA (SBIC_LNC007629)". The record is from RNAcentral. Lineage: Eukaryota; Viridiplantae; Streptophyta; Magnoliopsida; Poales; Poaceae.
UAGGCGUCAGAUGCAAACAUAAAAAACUAUAAAUAUAUAGAUCAUACUAGUCUCUCAUUCUACAGGUAUGUCGAGCCCACUCAAUGGAGUCUGGGCACUUAAUUACGUAGUAGCCCUCAUUUUUAUGCCAACUAUCAGCCAUUUCUAUUCACAUUUUCCAUGCAAGAAUGGAUAUUUUGGUGAGUAAAUGAAAGGUACAAAGAAAUAAAACACUUAUCAGCCAUUUCUUUUGGGAAAGAAUAUAAUAAAAACGAGCAUUGGUGCUAGCUAGUAUAUAUAACGUGUUUUCCAACACGAACAGCAUGCAACAAGGGCCGGAAGAUGAAUUUAGCGUAGAGGGACACUACACCACAACACCAGAUUUGGCGUUGGAUGAUCUGACGCCGAAAGCCGCUACAACGGUGUGCGGUCUGACGCUAAAAACAUAUAGCGUCAGACUUCUGCAGACGUGCUAAAAACAUAUAACGUCAGACCAGAGUUUUAGCGUCAGAUAGCCCGUUGUUGUGAGAAUUUUUAGCAUCAGAUAGUCUCAUGGCAGUGUUUAGCGCCAGACACUCCUUGGCACAAUUUAUAUAUAGCGUCAGAUCAUCCAAUGAUCAACAUAUAUAUAGCGUCAGAUUGUUCAAUGGCACAAUUUAAAUAUCAAAAAAAUAAAAAUUGAAAAUAUUUAGCACAUCAAACCCACAUUCAAGCUCAAUGUCCAUCACACACAAAGAUAUAAGGUCACACAUGACAUGGAGGUCGAUACAUAUAUAUUAUACCAUACAAUCUUGUCUUGCAUAUUACAUCACACUACAUCGGGCCCUAAACCCUAAACCCUAAACCCUAAACCCAUUGAGGCUCGUGUCAAACCACUUAUGGAGAGUCUUCAACAUCAACAUCUAGAGGUUAAAACACAACACCGUCAAAUGCUUCAGACAACCCUCAAACAUGGGAUCAAUCGCCGCCUGCUUUAUCUCUUUGAAAUUCUCCAACUACUUCGUAUUCCCAAACAAAACGUCAUCUUGAUCAAUAUAGUUAUCAACAUUUUCAAAAAUCUCCGCAUCUCUGGGCCCCAAGACUACAACACCCUGCUCAUCAUCCCCACCACCAUCGUUGUCAGCUGCCAUGUCUCCGAUCAGAUCGUGGAGGCUGAUGUAAUCACAAUUCACACUGUUGCCAUCCACCGCUGCUGUUGAUGAUGAGGGUUGUUGUCCUCCGUCAUUCACCGUCGAUGAGUUACCUCCGCUAGAUACACUGGUUGCACUCGGAUCUGCUUCUUUGUCGUGAUACUUCUAGACAGUGUAAUCCUUGAUGAAGCCAUGCCGGAUCAAGUCAGAUUGCACCAUGUUAUCUUCCUAGAGAAGCUUGUUCUUGUAUCUAUUGCACAGACAAAUGAUGCGCUCCCGACCUAGACACACAUAUGCUUUUUUGCUGCGGCAGCAAACUUUCUCACAUGUCCCAGAAAAGCCAAAUCAUUGCUGACCCUCGGUAUCUUAUACAUCCACUCUUUCAUGUCCAUGAUGACCGCGAUGACCUUGCACACACAUAAGGAGAAUAACAAAUGAAGUCAUAUGAAAAGAGCAGAAAGAAUAAGAAAAAUCAUCUCAGUAGCUCUAGGUCUAGUUUUCUAUAUUCUCCAUUUGGAUCUAGGUCUAGCUCAAAACCACCUAAGUCAUGCAAAAGAGAGAACAUGAUAGUUGGAGAGUAAGAAAUCCUCCUCUUGUGGUGCCCUCCUUCACCAAAUGCAAGGGCAAAACCUUCGCCCCUCUAAAAUGACCAAUUUUAGGGUUUUGAGCUUAUCAAAACCCUAAAGAAUGGGGAGCC